CUCCAAUAUCCCACAUCAGAAAGCGUGUGUUGUUAACCACGAUCUCUUCCACAUUGCUGCCUAUCGUAGGUGAGGUAUGCACCACUUCAUUCAUUGAGAAUUGAUAAAGAAUGGUAGUUUUUCCUGCAUUAUCCAGACCAACAAUGAUUACUUUGUGCUCCUGGUGGUUGAACAGCCUCCAGAUCCUGGUGAAGAGGAUCCCCAUCCUCGGCCCGCUCCGGCCGCCGCCGGCUCCUCCGCACCCGCCGCCAGGGGCUGCCCGUGGCCGCGGCCGCCUCAGGGCCCGGCCCGGCGCCCGGCCUGCGGGAGGGGCCCCCCGCGCCGGGCCUGCUCGCGCUGCGCACUGCGGGCCGAGCGCCCCCCGCGCGCGGACAUCGCCGCCGCCCGCGCUCCGCCGCUCCGCUCCUCGCGCCGCGCCUUCCCGCAGGCCGCCGGCCGGCACCGCUCCGCACCACAACGCGCCGCGCUCCUCGCGGCCACCGUAG
Molecule: long non-coding RNA, 485 nt
Filed under: Gallus gallus (chicken)
Lineage: Eukaryota; Metazoa; Chordata; Aves; Galliformes; Phasianidae
Source: RNAcentral